CGAAGGUUUGAUGUGCUUUUCUAUUUAAAAUGUAAAUUUAUUGGAGACAGUAAAUCAGUACUCACAGCGUGGAAUAGCAGACGUUCAUACAGCCACUUUCUAUUGGUUUGUGUGACACCUGGCAGGUCCCAAGCCAGGGCUAGCUCGAGAACAUUUCUUCGUUCCAGUUCUGUUAAUUCAGCAGUGCCAUCAAGCUAGGACAGAGAAAAAAAAUUAGUAGUCAGUAGUAGGUACUGAUGGCUAUUCAAUCUUGUCUCUAAAUUCAAUAUUUAGUGAAAUAGUAAUUCUUUAAAAUAAUGGUACAAAAAUGCAAACCAGCUGAAUAGUGCUGCGGAUAUCAAUAUCAGGGCAAUCCUCAUUCUGAACUGUAGCUGUUUCAGGUGAGCCCCCAAAAAGGACAUGGAUGAUUGCAGGACUUAUACCAGACACACACGGUCCACCAUGAAUAGGGAUGGGUACCAGUGUCCGGUGCCAUCUGACAUAAACGGUAGUAACCAGACCGAAAAGCAGCGCACAUUUCAGUGUUUUUUUUUUCCUGAGCCAAUUCUAGCCAAUCAUUUUACGUUUCCGAGGAUAGUAGGCGGGGCCAGGUACGUACGUUCUUUUAGAGCAGAGCUACAGGUUAAAAAUGCCCAAGGCGAAGCGAUCAAAGUCUGGCUGUACUUCACAGCAAAAGAUGCAAACUCAGCAGCCUGCAACAAGUGCUUUAAGCUGAUACUGUGAUACUGUCAAAGGAGGUAACACCUCGAAUCUGAUGAAACACCUGGCGACGCAUAGCGUUGCUUUUUAAAGCCGAGAAAUUUGCCGUGUUUGAUAGCUUGCUGCGAGACCUCACACCGUGCACAUCUACUGCGGGUGUGGUGCCUGUUAGCGGACCCGGAGUUAGCAACAUCCCCCCAAAAGAGUAGAGUCCUGGCCCCUAGCCCUGCCAGCGUAGCAGAAAUGAUGAGGAUGAUGAUGGCAGCAGCAGCCGUUCUUCUCUGCAAACAAUACCUUCCAGUUUGCAGCUGACAGGCCCCGCCCACUCUACCUUUGGGGCUUUGUAGAGGGAGAUAAGUGACCUCUGUUGACCCACAAUACUUUCCCGCAAGUCCAUUUGCAGGACUACUGCCUUUCUGGUCUCAUACUUUGAAAGUAACUCGGACUUGUAGAGCCAGGCUGCUCUGGUUGCAUCUUGUUCACAUUUCCACUCUGAAAGAAGUGACUUUUCGUCAUCUUGAUGAGAUGCAUUUUCCUGCACUACC
Long non-coding RNA from Oreochromis aureus, 1244 nucleotides. The record is from Ensembl. NCBI's taxonomy places the organism in Eukaryota, Metazoa, Chordata, Actinopteri, Cichliformes, Cichlidae.